Molecule: transfer RNA, 100 nt
Filed under: Trichoderma virens Gv29-8
Lineage: Eukaryota; Fungi; Ascomycota; Sordariomycetes; Hypocreales; Hypocreaceae
Description: tRNA-Ala for anticodon AGC
Rfam family: tRNA
About the family: Transfer RNA (tRNA) molecules are approximately 80 nucleotides in length. Their secondary structure includes four short double-helical elements and three loops (D, anti-codon, and T loops).
Source: RNAcentral
GGGCGGAUGGUUUAGUGGUAUAAUUUUCCCUUAGCAUAGCGCAACCUCCGAGUUGCCGACCGCCUGGGAAAGGUCCGGGGUUCGAUUCCCCGUUCGUCCA